AAAGUACUCCAUCCAUCCCCAAAUUCUUGUCUUAGCUUUGUCUAGAUACGGAUGUAUCAAGUCAUAUUUUAGUAUUAGAGACAUAUGUAUCUAGACAAAUCUAAGACAAGAAUUUUGGGACAAAGGGAGUAGUUG
Triticum aestivum (bread wheat) is the source of this 135-nucleotide non-coding RNA. Lineage: Eukaryota; Viridiplantae; Streptophyta; Magnoliopsida; Poales; Poaceae. The record is from Rfam.